UCCUCCUUAGCUCAGUUGGUUAGAGCAUCUGACUGUUAAUCAGAGGGUCGCUGGUUCGAGUCCAGCAGGGGGAG
RNAcentral lists this transfer RNA (74 nucleotides) under Flagellimonas lutaonensis. Its description in RNAcentral is "tRNA-Asn (GTT) (tRNA-Asn-GTT-1-1)". It matches the Rfam family "tRNA". From Rfam's summary of the family: Transfer RNA (tRNA) molecules are approximately 80 nucleotides in length. The record is from Rfam by way of RNAcentral. Lineage: Bacteria; Pseudomonadati; Bacteroidota; Flavobacteriia; Flavobacteriales; Flavobacteriaceae. RNAcentral also lists the same sequence under 4 other names.